This 62-nucleotide transfer RNA is filed under the name Pseudocolaspis sp. EMHAU-15071004. RNAcentral's name for it is "tRNA-Tyr". It matches the Rfam family "tRNA". From Rfam's summary of the family: Transfer RNA (tRNA) molecules are approximately 80 nucleotides in length. Lineage: Eukaryota; Metazoa; Arthropoda; Insecta; Coleoptera; Chrysomelidae. The record is from RNAcentral.
GGUAAAAUGGCUGAAGUUUAAGCGAUAAAUUGUAAAUUUAUUUAUAGGGUUACCUUUUUACC